RNAcentral lists this ribosomal RNA (1536 nucleotides) under Vibrio vulnificus. RNAcentral's name for it is "partial 23S ribosomal RNA". It matches the Rfam family "Bacterial large subunit ribosomal RNA", at positions 1409 to 2925 of the family's 2925-position model. Lineage: Bacteria; Pseudomonadati; Pseudomonadota; Gammaproteobacteria; Vibrionales; Vibrionaceae. The record is from RNAcentral.
GCGUAGUCGAUGGGAAACGGGUUAAUAUUCCCGUACUUCUUACAAUUGCGAUGGGGGGACGGAGAAGGCUAGGUGGGCCUGGCGACGGUUGUCCAGGUUCAAGUGCGUAGGCUGAGUGUUUAGGUAAAUCCGGAUACUCUUAAGGCUGAGACACGACGUCGAGCUACUACGGUAGUGAAGUCAUUGAUGCCAUGCUUCCAGGAAAAGCCUCUAAGCUUCAGAUUGUAAGGAAUCGUACCCCAAACCGACACAGGUGGUCGGGUAGAGAAUACCAAGGCGCUUGAGAGAACUCGGGUGAAGGAACUAGGCAAAAUGGUACCGUAACUUCGGGAGAAGGUACGCUCUUGAUGGUGAAGUCCCUUGCGGAUGGAGCUGACGAGAGUCGCAGAUACCAGGUGGCUGCAACUGUUUAUUAAAAACACAGCACUGUGCAAAAUCGUAAGAUGACGUAUACGGUGUGACGCCUGCCCGGUGCCGGAAGGUUAAUUGAUGGGGUUAGCGUAAGCGAAGCUCUUGAUCGAAGCCCCGGUAAACGGCGGCCGUAACUAUAACGGUCCUAAGGUAGCGAAAUUCCUUGUCGGGUAAGUUCCGACCUGCACGAAUGGCGUAAUGAUGGCCACGCUGUCUCCACCCGAGACUCAGUGAAAUUGAAAUCGCUGUGAAGAUGCAGUGUACCCGCGGCUAGACGGAAAGACCCCGUGAACCUUUACUACAGCUUGGCACUGAACAUUGAACCUACAUGUGUAGGAUAGGUGGGAGGCUUUGAAGACGUGACGCCAGUUGCGUUGGAGCCGUCCUUGAAAUACCACCCUUGUAUGUUUGAUGUUCUAACGUUGGCCCCUAAUCGGGGUUGCGGACAGUGCCUGGUGGGUAGUUUGACUGGGGCGGUCUCCUCCCAAAGAGUAACGGAGGAGCACGAAGGUGGGCUAAUCACGGUUGGACAUCGUGAGGUUAGUGCAAUGGCAUAAGCCCGCUUAACUGCGAGAAUGACGGUUCGAGCAGGUGCGAAAGCAGGUCAUAGUGAUCCGGUGGUUCUGAAUGGAAGGGCCAUCGCUCAACGGAUAAAAGGUACUCCGGGGAUAACAGGCUGAUACCGCCCAAGAGUUCAUAUCGACGGCGGUGUUUGGCACCUCGAUGUCGGCUCAUCACAUCCUGGGGCUGAAGUCGGUCCCAAGGGUAUGGCUGUUCGCCAUUUAAAGUGGUACGCGAGCUGGGUUUAGAACGUCGUGAGACAGUUCGGUCCCUAUCUGCCGUGGGCGUUGGAAGAUUGAAGGGGGCUGCUCCUAGUACGAGAGGACCGGAGUGGACGAACCUCUGGUGUUCGGGUUGUGUCGCCAGACGCAUUGCCCGGUAGCUAAGUUCGGAAUCGAUAACCGCUGAAAGCAUCUAAGCGGGAAGCGAGCCCUGAGAUGAGUCUUCCCUGAUACUUUAAGUAUCCUAAAGGGUUGUUCGAGACUAGAACGUUGAUAGGCAGGGUGUGUAAGCGCUGUGAGGCGUUGAGCUAACCUGUACUAAUUGCCCGUGAGGCUUAACCAU